RNAcentral lists this ribosomal RNA (963 nucleotides) under Triticum aestivum (bread wheat). Its description in RNAcentral is "partial small subunit ribosomal RNA". Lineage: Eukaryota; Viridiplantae; Streptophyta; Magnoliopsida; Poales; Poaceae. The record is from RNAcentral.
AUGGACAAGGGUCACCCAGGGUACUUCAAGUCCAUGAUCGACGCUAAGCUCCAGGAGCAGGGGUUCUUUGCUUCCCAGCACUGCGUCAACUGCGGCCAUGAGCUCGACUACAAGCCGGACAUGGUUGGGUUUCCUGCCGGUGUCAAGUUCGAUCCGACAGACCAGGAGCUGAUUGAGCACCUUGAGUCCAAGAUGAUGAAGAGAGCUCACUCCCUCAUCGAUGACUUCAUACCCACCAUUGAGGGAGAAGAUGGCAUUUGCUACACCCAUCCAGAGAAACUCCCAGGUGUGACAAGAAAUGGCCAGAGCAAACACUUUUUCCACAGACCAUCAAAGGCCUACACCACAGGCACGAGGAAGAGGAGAAAGAUCCACGCAGAGAGUGAGCUGUCCAACAGUAAAAAUGGUGCCGAGACGCGGUGGCACAAGACUGGCAAGACACGGCCGCUGAUGGUGGACGGACGGCAUAAGGGGUGCAAGAAGAUCCUAGUGUUGUACAGCAACUUUGGCAAGGCACGAAAGCCAGAAAAGACUAAUUGGGUGAUGCACCAGUACCACCUCGGCGACCUAGAGGACGAGAAGGAAGGGGAGUUGAUCGUGUCAAAGGUCUUCUAUCAGACACAGCCACGGCAGAGUGCCGCUGCCACGACAUCGACAGUAUUCCAUGAGCCUUCGACUAACGGGGAUAUGGAGGUAAAGACGCCAAAGUCAAUGAAGAUUGGGCUCACUGAUUAUGCGGUUGUCGCCGCGGCUGCCAUCCAGAUGCAGCGACAGCAGCAGCAAAUGCUGAAGCAAGGUGAUGAGAUGAACAAGGGAAAGGAGGGGCAGGACCAACAGCAGCAGAAAUUUGACCACAGGCCUGCUGGCUUGGAAGGACUAAUAAUGGCCUGCAAAUCAGCAAGUACAAAAGAAGGAACUUCAACUACUCAGCCCGAAGAUAUGCAAUGGCCUUACCAGUACUAG